UACGUAGGGGGCUAGCGUUAUCCGGAAUUACUGGGCGUAAAGGGCGCGCAGGCUGUAGAUCAAGUCAGCUGUGAAAUGUCUGGGCUUAACCCGGGCAUGCGGUUGAAACUGAUGUACUGGAGUGCUGUAGAGGCAAGUGGAAUUCCCAGUGUAGCGGUGAAAUGCGUAGAUAUUGGGAAGAACACCGGUGGCGAAGGCGACUUGCUGGGCAGCAACUGACGCUGAGGCGCGAAAGCCAGGGGAGCAAACGGGAUUAGA
Molecule: ribosomal RNA, 258 nt
Filed under: uncultured prokaryote
Description: partial 16S ribosomal RNA
Rfam family: Bacterial small subunit ribosomal RNA
Source: RNAcentral